CACGAAGGGGGCUAGCGUUGCUCGGAAUCACUGGGCGUAAAGCGCACGUAGGCGGAUUGUUAAGUCAGGGGUGAAAUCCUGGAGCUCAACUCCAGAACUGCCUUUGAUACUGGCGAUCUUGAGUCCGGGAGAGGUGAGUGGAACUGCGAGUGUAGAGGUGAAAUUCGUAGAUAUUCGCAAGAACACCAGUGGCGAAGGCGGCUCACUGGCCCGGUACUGACGCUGAGGUGCGAAAGCGUGGGGAGCAAACAGG
This 253-nucleotide ribosomal RNA is filed under the name uncultured bacterium. Its description in RNAcentral is "partial 16S ribosomal RNA". It matches the Rfam family "Bacterial small subunit ribosomal RNA", at positions 524 to 776 of the family's 1533-position model. The record is from RNAcentral.